UACACAAACUACAAAGGAGUAGGUUCAGUAAGACCCCUUUUUGGCCCCAAAAUAUAGCAGUUUUACAAAAUUGUUAAAAUGUAAACCUUUAGUUAUUUAUUGGACAGUAGAAUGCUUCUGCUACAUAAAUAUGGGCUGUUUUUGACAAUACAAUGCACAUAUAUCCGGUACUAGCACCAUUUAGUCAUGCUAAAUUACUGAAAUCCUCAUAAUUCUAGCAGUUUAGUUAAAUUUUAGACGGUUUUCGUGUAAAACGAAAGUGGCCGCAUUCGUGUUCAUCCUUAAUAUUGAAAUGUAAG
This 299-nucleotide long non-coding RNA is filed under the name Mytilus galloprovincialis (Mediterranean mussel). Lineage: Eukaryota; Metazoa; Mollusca; Bivalvia; Mytilida; Mytilidae. The record is from RNAcentral.